AACGUCCUUUAGCGCUGGGCCGCCGGCAGCCGCGGGCGCAUCUUUGCAUUUCCCUGGAGGAGUUCCCUCAUCUGUUAAAGGAGGGAGUUGAGGCGGACACGCUGGGAAAUGGCUUCGAGCUCACACACUAAUUUUCGGUCCCGCUCCGUCGCCCAGGCUGGAGUGCAGUGGAGCCAUCACUGCUCACUGCAGCCUCCCACCUCCGACUCCAGAGAUCCUCUCGCCUCAACUUCCAGAGUAGCUGGGACCACAGGCGCAUGCCACCACGCCUGGCUAAUUUUUAGGGUUUUUUUUUUUUUUUGGGUAGAGAUGGGGCCUCCCUGUGUUGCCUAGGCUAGCCUUGAACUCCUGGGCUCAAGCCGUCUUCCAGCUUCGGCCUCCCAAAGUGCCGGCAUUACAGGCAUGAGUCACCCCGCCUGGCAGUUGUUUUUAAACUAACUGAGGUUCUCCCAUCAAUGGAUUUAAAUUGUUACUUUUUAAUGAUUUUUUUAAGUAGCCAAAUACUAAAUGUAUGUAAUUUGUGGAGAGAAGAUAAUGCAUGAUUCAAAUUAUGUGGCUGAUCAUGAGUGAUACACUGGGAUAUAGUUGUAAAAUAAGUAGUUCCCCUAGGGAAAAUAUUAAAGUACAACUGUGUUGGGUUUAAUAUCAGAAAAUAUGUAAUUAAAAAUAUUUCCCCCCAACGACUUCCAAUCUGAUACUUUAAAAAAAAAAAAAA
Molecule: long non-coding RNA, 715 nt
Organism: Chlorocebus sabaeus (green monkey)
Lineage: Eukaryota; Metazoa; Chordata; Mammalia; Primates; Cercopithecidae
Source: RefSeq, a predicted model, not a curated record